This 16-nucleotide small RNA is filed under the name Arabidopsis thaliana (thale cress). RNAcentral describes it as "ATSL055650". Lineage: Eukaryota; Viridiplantae; Streptophyta; Magnoliopsida; Brassicales; Brassicaceae. The record is from RNAcentral.
AAUCAUCUUCCAUUGU